This 591-nucleotide long non-coding RNA is filed under the name Sparus aurata (gilthead seabream). RNAcentral describes it as "lncRNA (ENSSAUG00010022733.1)". The record is from RNAcentral. Lineage: Eukaryota; Metazoa; Chordata; Actinopteri; Spariformes; Sparidae.
AUGGCUUCACCAUGGAAACACUGCUGCAUCCUCCUCCUCUCUCUCCUCAUCCUCCAUCUGCAGUCGUCUACCUGCCUCGACAGACAGUCUGCUGACAGUGCUGCUGUCUCUCCAGUUCAAGAUGACGGGAUGACACAGAGUGGUGGAGGGAUGUGGGUGGAGCAGAGUUUGAUAGCUGCAGACGAGCCGUCCAGACAACAGCAGUCUCCAGAUGUUUCGCGGAGGAAGUUGCUUCAGGUGCCAGGAGCUGCUCUUCCCUUCCCUCCUCUCAAGGUGUUGUCCAACGGGCAGCCGUGCGUCCUGUUCCAGGCCAGGAAGUUGUCUCUCCGAUAUGAGAGGCAGAAGCAGCUGGACCUGACGGAGAGAACCUUCUCCCCUCAGAAACCUGUCGACACCAGCCAGUCCGUCUGCCGCCAGGACAAGGCCACGUUGGUCAUGAGGUUUGGAGAUGUGGAGGAUUUGCGAGGCCUCUCCAUCAGGUCAGUAACACAAUCUAUAAACCACUGGUGGAAUGUAACUAAGUACAUCUACUCAAGUUGUGUGCUUCAGUACAAUUUUGAGGCACUUGUACUUUAUUUUAUUAUACUGUAA